GACAGAGGCCUCAAGCGUUAGGCGGAAUCACUGGGCUUAAAGCGUGUGUAGGCGGACGCCUAAGUGUCUUGUGAAAUCCCCCGGCUCACCCGGGGAACUGCUGGGCAUACUGGGCGUCUUGGGCCAACUAGGGGCAACUGGAACAAGCGGUGGAGCGGUGAAAUGCGUAGAUAUCGCUUGGAAGCGCCGAAGGUGAAAACAGGUGCUGGGGUUGUGCCGACGCUGAGACACGAAAGCCAGGGGAGCAAACGGG
Molecule: ribosomal RNA, 253 nt
Filed under: uncultured bacterium
Lineage: Bacteria
Description: partial 16S ribosomal RNA
Rfam family: Bacterial small subunit ribosomal RNA
Source: RNAcentral